RNAcentral lists this long non-coding RNA (10395 nucleotides) under Nicotiana benthamiana. Its description in RNAcentral is "long non-coding RNA (NBEN_LNC029434)". The record is from RNAcentral. Lineage: Eukaryota; Viridiplantae; Streptophyta; Magnoliopsida; Solanales; Solanaceae.
AAAACCCCACCUACUUUCCCUAUAUCUCCUCCGCUAACCCUAAUCCCCAUUUCCUAAAUAUUGUUGCUUCUAAACACUCUCUGCCUCAUCGUUGUCCUAACCGCUGCCUUUUACCUAUCCCCUUCCUAAUCUUGUUAGCCAUGGAAUUUACCUGUUAUUUACUUACCAUAUUUGUGUUGCUUCUCCACUAGUUACCUAUUUGUGGUAUACAUUGUACUGGUUCAAUUUUUGGCAAGAAGAUCCCUCCGAAAUUAGACAAAAUUUGUUCAAAUCCUUGAUUUCUCAGAUUAUUUUGUCUACGUUGAUCAUGAAUUCGUCGCAAGUAUGAAUAUUUUCCAUUUUUAUCGAUGACGCUUACCUACCCUAAAUUAGUGUUUUGAAACCUCUUUAAAUCGAACAAAAACUAGUUUGAUUCUUUGGUUUUAAGUGAUAUUUCAUUUAUCUUCGUCCUAUUUUGUGCGGUGUUUGACUUUAUAUUGCUGAUUUUGCACUUUUUCUGAAAUUAGGGUUUGAGAUUUUCCCUUUCCGUCACUGAUUGAUUGCAUGUAAUAAAUAUUUUCUUUUUCAUGUUUGAUUGAUGAUUUUCCUUAUUUUGGUGUUAAUUUCUACCACUAUAUAAAAUUGUUGCCCCAUUCCCUUUGGAGAGACUUUGGGAUUCAAUCUAGCUUCACUAAAUCUAAAGCUUUACUCUAGUUUGCAUUCUAUAUUCUGAUUUUGGCUAGCUGGAAGCCAUGGCAAUUUAGUUUUGGAAUCUCUCUACUUAGAAUAUUGUGGACUUCUAUUAUUUUGUUCAUUUUCGCUUAACUGGUGAGUCACUUCACUUCUGCAAUUCAAUUCUUAAAUAUUUAUGAUUUUCAUGUGUUCUUGCUUCUGAAUCCUUGGUUCAAUAUGCUUCUAAGUCUUGUUAGGCAUUGUUCAAUAAACUCCACAUGCUUUAGCAUGUUUAACACUAACUGCUCCUAAUACUAUUAGUUUUGAAGUUAUCUGUUGUUAUCCUAGCUAAUCUUGAUUUUCUUGAGGUUUAUUAAGUUAGUGUGUAAAACUUUUGAAGGCACAUGAACAUAUUUUCUCGGUUAUUCUAAAUACCUGUAGUGGAUGCCUCACAUUUUUUUUAGCGUGUGUUAAGAACUUUAAUGCCAUUCAUAAAUUGCCUCCCUACUAUUUUGUUAUUCAACAUGAUCACCCGACCCUAUUCCCCUCCCCCCCCCCCCNNNNNNNNNNNNNNNNNNNNNNNNNNNNNNNNNNNNNNNNNNNNNNNNNNNNNNNNNNNNNNNNNNNNNNNNNNNNNNNNNNNNNNNNNNNNNNNNNNNNNNNNNNNNNNNNNNNNNNNNNNNNNNNNNNNNNNNNNNNNNNNNNNNNNNNNNNNNNNNNNNNNNNNNNNNNNNNNNNNNNNNNNNNNNNNNNNNNNNNNNNNNNNNNNNNNNNNNNNNNNNNNNNNNNNNNNNNNNNNNNNNNNNNNNNNNNNNNNNNNNNNNNNNNNNNNNNNNNNNNNNNNNNNNNNNNNNNNNNNNNNNNNNNNNNNNNNNNNNNNNNNNNNNNNNNNNNNNNNNNNNNNNNNNNNNNNNNNNNNNNNNNNNNNNNNNNNNNNNNNNNNNNNNNNNNNNNAAAAAUUUUUGAAAAAAAUUUUUGGUGUAUUUUAAUAUAAACAUAAGAACCCCCCCCCCCUUCUACUGCUAGCUUGUGAUUUAGAACAAUUGUCUCAUCAUGUUUGAAUUAGUACUUUGAGAUGUUCGGCUAGACCUUUGAUACAAACUGGAUCAUCUUUUGUUAAUUUGAUCACUAUCAUAAUGCUUGAAUGCCUAUGCUUGCUACAUGACACGAUUCUACCUUCUAUUUUGAUUAAUAGUUUGUAUAUGUAUCUUAAUUUGUGAUUGUAAUCUCACCACUUUCCUAACAUAAUACCCUACUCUUUCUAUGAUUAUUUGACUCAUCACAACGCUAUCCUAUUUCUUUGGUAAUUGUACUAGGUUGUGUACAUAGCAUAAUUCAACCAUGUUUUAACCUAUCUCACACCUGUGUAUAACAACCUUAGUAAAUCCUGCAAACAUGUCCUUUUCAACUUUUCUUUUCAGUAUGUGACUGCUUCUGUGCUAAGUGUUGAACCUGUUUCUCAGUUUACAUUAAGCUCGUUCUUUUACUUUUGUGAUUUAAUCAACUGUCUGCCUGACUUUCUCAAUUUGGUUGUGUCUCUUUAAACCAUUCAUUUCAUGUUCUCUCAAUUUUUGUCCUUUCUUUCACCUGUCAGCUAAGUUCUUUAAAUCCCAUUCUUAGCUGGCUGAAAGCCAAGGCUACUUAGGUUCUAUCAUUUGACCUCCCUCGUGAGAGCACUGCUCAAGGUUCUUAUGAGACCCUUACAAACUCUAACACACUAGGACUUGGUCCCCAGUUUCUCCUCUGAAUUAUCUUUGUUCACUUACCUAGUGUGAGCACUUGCCUGGGUUCUUGAAGUCAGUGGGAACUUUGACACACCAGGGUCUUGGUUCUAUAUGCUCAACUCUAUUUUAAGACUAGUGGGGAAUCCCUCAUGUCCUAGCUUCCUUAUGUCCAUGAACAUGUAAUUUUAGGGCUGAUGUGAAUUAUGAGAAUGAUGGCCUUGCCUGGCCAGGUGUAUCUGUGGGCUUGCUAUAGGCUCCUUAUGGCAAUUCUACUUAGUAAUUUAUUUUAUUCAUUUUGGGUCUAUUAUAAUUAUUAUAAUAAAAUUUUGGGAAAUUAGUGAAAUUAGGGAAGGACUUUUAUCUCGUACUUUCAUUGAAAUGGGAAGAAAUCAUGCCUAUAGGUCCAUUACUUUGUUAAAAUGUGCUAUUAUGUUCAAAGAUGUUCGGCUAUCAUGUGUUAGAAAUCAUGCCUAUAGGUAUUUUAUCUUUUCUCAAAACGUGUUACUUUCAAAUUACUGUAGAAAUAUUUCCUAUAUGUAUAUUUUUAUGCUUAAAAUGUUCUUCUUAUAUGUAAGCCACCAUGCCUAUAGGUUUUUCAUUUGGUUCGAAUAUGUUCUAUGACUACUUGUUAGAAAUCAUUCUUGUAGGAUUUAAAACCAGUUUAAUUAUAGAACCCAUGCCUAUAGGAUUGAAUAUUAGUUUCAAUUAUAGAACUCAUGCAUAUAGGGUUUUGAAUCAGCUUAGUCUUCAAUGUUGUGCUAAUUAUCAUCACUAGAAACCAUGCCUAUCAGACUCAAUUAUUCAAUUCUGAACAUAAUCCUAUGAGACGAUCACUUACUGCAUAAAAAUGCAUAGAUAUCAUGCCUAUUUGUUUAAUAUCUGAUAUAUGUAAUCAGUAGGCAACCAUGUAGGUUUCAAAGAUUGUAAAGUGCCCGGUCAUUAAAUUUAGAAUCACAUAGAGAUCCUGCCUAUAGGUUUCUACAACUUCAACUUGUCAAAAUCUUCAAUAGUCUUUGUCAAUUAGGUUUUGUGUGCAAUUGAUAUCGAAGUGCGGUGGCCAAAUUCAGCCCUUAUUUGCUUACAAGUGAAAGUCCAAAAUGUUUUUUCUGUCGCCAAGUAUUUUUUUUUUCUAUGGAACCUAAGUUAAUGUCUAGAAACACCCUAAGAUAGAGGACCAAAUGCCUCCUAGACUGUAGGCAUGGGACACGUAGUGCACACAUAGAAAACAACAUAGAAUUGACUAGAGCGCUUUAGGUAAACAAGCUAAAGAUAAUAAUUGGGUAGCAAGAGAUGAUAGUCUAUGCCCAGUGAAUAAUCUGAGUAACACCCAUCUCAAAGGAGUUACGAAGUAUUAUUUAUGUUGCACGGGGUGAUCCCUUAGGCUAAAAAACAUAGGACUCCCCAUCUUUGUUUUAAAAUCAAUCAUUUUCUUUAUUUGUCCUUCCUCUUAGAAUAAUUCAUGAAAUUAAUGUUUGUUCGGGACCUACCAUUGUGGACGUCGAGAAAUGCCUAACACCUUCUCCUAGAGGUAAUAUGAGCCCUUAACUGAUCUUUGGUGACGCAACUAGUUAAUUCAGAGUUAACUGCAAAUAGGUGUCUUAACGCACCUUAAUCAGUUAGGUGGUGACUCUCUCUUUUUAUACCCUUCCAUAUAAGAGUUAUCAAUGUCGAAACUUCAUUUCACGAGAAAAAGGGGUACACCAUACAUAGAGUCAAAAGAUAUAUGGAGUCUUAAGAGUAGGGGUUUUUUUAGGGCUCGAGAGAUGGAAUAGAUAGCCCCCUCCAUGCCUUACUGACUGCGGCUAAGGUGGUGUCAACCAAAGGGUCAAAAAGUUCCCACAUGAAUGGACGUUUGAAUAUUGCUCAGAAUUGAACCUUCGAUCACUUGGAUUCGCGUUUACCUUCACAAACCGGCAAAGCGUAAUUGGCCUUGGAUUCCUUGCGCUCAUACCUUAAUGAAGGAAAGUAAUAAGUAGAAAAAGAGGCUUUUCCAAAAUUGGCAUAUGAUGAACCGAGGAAUCGAGCCAAAUAUGAAUGAAUAGGCAUGUGGGAACUACAUUUCUUGAGCUAGAUGAUUAAAGCUUAUCAUGUCCAGGUACUCACACAUUAUCCACAUCAAAUAAAUAUUCAUUAGUUUGAAAUUAGCCAGAUUAGGAGGUCAUAAGUUCGAGUCGUGGAAACAUCCUCUCCCUGAAAUACAGGAUAGGUACGAUAGGUCCUUGUGGAUCGGCCCUUCUUCGGACCUCACGCAUUGCAUGAGCUUUGCCAGGUUGCCUUUUUGUUUCUUUUUCUGAAACUGGGUGGAGUCAGCAAUUUGGAUUCUGUAUAUACAUUCAAAUUAAUUCAUGUUUAUUUCAUUCAAAUGCUAAGUUGUUUAUUCAAGGCAAAUAUUUUCUUGUUAACUACUUAGAGUCAAUAAUUUGGAUUCUUUUGAGACAUUCCAAUUAAGUCAUGUUUAUUUCAUUUAAAUGUUUAGUUGUUUAUUUAACGCCAAUAUUUUCUUAUUAACUAUUUGGAGUCAGCAAUUUGAAUUCUUUAUAGACAUUCCACUUAAUUCAUGUUUAUUUCAUUCAAAUGCGAAGUCUUUAAUUUAGGGAAAAUAUUUCUUGUUGAGUAUAUGAAGAAAUUUCAUUAACGCUAUUAAAUAAUCUAAUAAUCAGCGAAGUCGUUAUUCUUCUGUUUUUAUGUCAACUGUUAAAAUAGUUGUGAUGGCCCGACGGUCAUUUUCAGUUUUGGACUUCUUUUCUAUAUUUUGAGACCUCGAAUAACUUAGUUUGGCCUCCUCGAUUUGCAUGUGCAGUCCAUGCCUUUUACCAGAAGAUUAUUAUGUGAAAACGGAGGAAAUAUGAAAGUUUUCCUUAAAACUCAUUUGAGUUGACUACUGUCAAUGUUUUUUGUAAAUGGGCUCGUAUCGGUAUUUUGACAUUCACAAUGGGUCCGUUUCGUGAUUAAUGACUUGGGCGUAUGCCCGGAAUCGAAUUCCAAAGUCCCUGACUUGAUUUAACGUGUUUUUUUAAAAAUUAGUAAUUUAAAGAUUUAAAGAAUUCUCAAGAUUGACCAUAGGUGGACUUUUUUUAUAUUUGGUUCGAAUUUUAGUUCUUGAACUUGGUAUAGGUCAAUUUUACUAUUUAUGACUUGUCUGCAAAAUUUGGUGCAAAAUGGAGUUUAUUUGACGUGAUUUAGACGUCUGAUUGUUAAAUUGAAAGUUCUUAAGCUUCUUUGAAAAUUUCAUUCAUUUUGAUUGUUCGAUUCGUAGUUCUAGAUGUUAUUUUUGUAUUUUGAUCGCAAGAGAGUUUAUAUGAUGUUAUUCACUUGUCUGCAUGUUUGGUUGGAGCCCGAAAGGCUCCAGUGAGUUUCGGAUGCGUAGCGGAAUGGUUGAUAGAGAGGUCUUGCUGCUUCUUUUCGCACAAGUCACAGUUCUCGCAUUUGACAGUUUAGUGUCACAUUUGCAAUAGUGUUAGGUUGCAUUUGCAAACAGAUCGUUCUCAUUUGCAAUAGGGUGCUGGGUGGAACUAGUUCGCAUUUCUGAUCAAAUUGAAUGAGAAGUGUGGAGAGUUUACUUUCGCAAGGACUUCAUAGCAUUUGAGGGGAUCACAAUUACAAAUCACAUGUCAUAUUUGUGAUAUUUACGCCUGGACAAAAAGCUGAGAAAACGUGAAUAAGCUCAUUUUUUAGAAACACGCAACCCUAAGCCUCCUAGAAGUGAUUUUCUAAAAGGAUUUUCAUCCCAAAUAUAUUGGUUAGAAACUUUAAUUUAUUUCUUUUCAAUUUCCCAUUACUUUUCAAGUGUUUUCAACAUUUAAUUUAGGAUUUCAGAAAUUAGGUAUUGGGAUAGAAUUAGAAUUUUUAUAAAUUUGAGAUUUAUACCUCGAAUUGAGGUUAGAUUUUGAAAUAAAUUACAUAACCGGGAUCUGGGUGAAUGAGUAAUCGGGUUUUGGUCCAAAUCUCGGUUUGAUGAAGCGACCCCAGGGUUAACUUUUGUUGACUUUUGGGAAUAAAUGGAAAGAUCUUAACUUUAUGUAUUGUAAGUAUUUUUCCUAGCACUUUUUGUUGAUAUUAAGUCAGUUUUGGUUAGAUUUUUGUUCAUUGGAAGGCGAAUUUUAGAGGAAAGGCUCCUUUUGAGCUUUGAUUUUCUUGAGCAAUGUUAGUGAAGGGUCUAACCUUGAUUUGGAGGAAUCUGAAACCCUUGAUCUAUAUGUUAUAUGAUCUACAUAUGUAGCAGUGUAUAUGCAAGGUGAUUAGUUUAUAUACGCCGUCAAAAUACAUGUUUUCAUGCAUUCUCGCAUUUUAUUAAUUAUUUUAUUUCAUGUCUUAACUGUUACAUGCUUUAAUUGCUUCCUAUGCCUUUACGUGCUACUAGUCACUCAUUACAGCUGUAUUGAAAUGUCCAUUUAUUUCAUGCUUCUGUGAUUAAUUGAUACAUGUUUUAAUUGUCUUAAUUGUAAUCUUUAACUAUCAUAUAUUUGGUUUAGUUUAUUGCUUUGUAUUAAAUGUAGCAUUCCUUGUUUUGGUACAAGCUUCCUUUAUGGCUUUGCUUUUAUGAUUAUUUAUUCAUAGAGAUUCUUAUGAACUGAGUUGUUGAAUUAAUUACAUUUACUGAUUUGUUUUUGGAUUGGAUUGUACACUGCAAAGGGUAUAAUAAGGGAGGAAUGAUAUCGAUAUGGUGGGAUGGGGUUGCACACCGCAAUAGAUUUUAUAUGUGAUUUGAUAUGGUGAAAUAAGGGAGGAUUAUUACAUUGAUUCGGAUUAUAUGGUGGGAUCGGAUUGCACGCCGCAACAGAUUUUACAUGUUAUUUGUGAUAUUGAUGUGGUUAAAUAAGGGAGGAUUGAGUUUUUAAGGUGGGAUAGGGUUGCGCGCAUCAGCAGAUUGUGUAUUUUGUAUUCAUUGUUGCAUUGUGUUAGCUUUUAGUAUUUUCAUACGAGAUUCUGAGGGUUGAUGUUUGUGGAUUUAUUGACUUCAAGGAUUGAAUUUAUUUUUAUAAUUUAACUGCCUUACUUUUCCGGUGUUUCCUCUCAUAUUAUUGUUAUUCUUAUUAUUAUUAUACUGCGUACAGGUUGUAUGUAACAUGCCUUAGCCUCGUCACCACUUUAUCUAGGUUAGGUCCGGCACAUACUGAGUACAUGGGGUCGUUUGUACUCAUAUAAUACUCUUCACUUCUUGUGCAUAUUAUGGAGUCGGUCCUAGUAGUGGUUUGAUGACCUGGCUGGUAGUCUUAAGAUUUUACGCUCUGAUCCACUAUUAACUACAUUCUGGUGUUUUUUCUUGUUGUGGCUUGCUGGGGGGAUUUAUUUGAUGUUUUGGAGAGUUUUGAGACACUUAGUCGCUAAGUAAGAGCAUAUGUUUUAGAAUUUGGAUUGUACACAGAGCGGUGUGAAGACAACCUCAAAUUGGAAUUACGUUGAUUCUGUUAGCUCUGUUGGGUGAUUUCAGGUUUAGGAGCGUUCUCAGAUUGUGUUUUGGAUGUCCGUAGCUAAUUUGGGCUUGAAAUGCCGAAAGUUUAAUUUUUAAAGUUUCAGGUUUGAUUGUAUGAUUUUUAUCCAAGGGACGGAAUGGAAUUCCAGAGGUUGGAGUAGCUCUGUAGUGUUGAAUGUGAUGUGUGUGAAAAUUUUAGGUCAUUCGUACGAGUUUGAUAGACUUUUUGAUCGAAAGCGUAUUUUGAGAGUUUUGAUGUUAUUAGGCUUGGAUCCUUUACUAAUUAGUUGUUUCAAUGUUGUUCGUAAUAUUUUGAAGAUUCGAUUAAGUUUGAACGGUUUUAUUAGACGUUUUGUUGAUUUGGUUGAGGUUCUAGGGGUCUCGGGAUGAUAUCAAAUGGUUAAUGGAUAGAUUUGGAAUUUUGAGUUGCAGCUGAAGCUAUGACUAUUGUCAUUACCGCAUCUGCGGUUGAGAGGUCAAAGGUGUGACUCCCGUAGAUGCGAAAUCAAGCCGCAUAAGCGGCCAAAUAAGGAAGUGCUGAAACAGCAGAAGCGGAAGGUAUAACGCACAUGCGUGACCGCAGAUUCGAAUACUAGGUUACAGGUGCGGCGAAGAAGAUCUAACUUGAAGUUGCAGGAGCGGUCCCAUUAAUCACAGAAGAGGUAUCGCAGAUACAGAGGUUGGACCACACAUGUGGAUUUGUUUGGCAUAAAAAUUAGAAUUUUGAGGGUUUAGUUUCAAAAAGUUAGAAAUUAAUUUGGAGCUCGGGAGAAGGAGAUUUUGGUAGGAUUUCAAAGAGGAAAUAAGUGGGUAAUGAUUCUUAAUCCCUUUCUAGUUGUAUUCUAAUAAUCUAAUUCGAGUUUUGCCAUUUAAAGUUUAGAUUGGGAUGAAAACUUGGGGGGAAAUUUGAAGAAACUUCUUAGACCUAGAUUUCGAGUUUUGGUUAAAAAUUUGACAUUGGAUUUGGAUAAUUUUGGUAUGCAUGAACUCGGGAGAGUAUGAGGAUUCUGAAAAUAUAUAUUUUGCCCGAUUUCGAGAUGUGGGUCCGAGGGAUGUUUUGGUCAUUUUAUUGAAUUUCCCGUGUUAGCUUAGAAUUAAUUAGUUGAAUUAGUUUCUUAAAGUGUCAUUUACAUAAUGCAAUUUAAUUGAAUAGAGUUGGGCCAUUUCGAGUCUAGUAAUUAUGGCAAGAGUGUGGUUUGACGUUGAUUUUGAGCGGGUUCGAGGUAGGUGGCUUACCUAACCUUGUGUGAGGGUAAUUCCCCUUAGUAUUUGAAAUAAUUGAUAUUGAAAAUGCUUGGUGCGUGAGGUAAUGAGUGCAUACUUAUGCUAAUUGUUGAAAAUCAUGUUUUCACUAAAGUAGCUAUAAUUGUGUUUUCUUUUAUUGCUUAUACUACUUGAAAUUUAAGCCUGCUAUUAGCUUAGGAAAACAUGUCUAAUUAACUUACAUACUUUACUUUUUCAAACUGCCUUAUUUGGAUUAUGUAUGGCAUGCUACGGUAGAAUUACAUAUUUUACCCUGGUAUGAAAUUGAAUUAAUUGAGUAUUCUUCAUAUUUUUGCUGUGUGUUUACUUUGGGUCUAUAUGACGGUAUCUUGGGGGCUCCCCCUGUACAUAUAAUGCUUUGGACUGAGGUGCAGGAUAGCAAGGGAUCCUGAACAUGUAUAUUGAAGAUACUAAGAGAUCCUUGGGAUACCGAGAGAUCCCAUCAUAUAUAUAUUGAGGAUACCAAGAGAUCCUCGGAAUACCAAAAAAUCCUAAGCACACAUUGAGGAUACUAAGAAAUCCUCGUAUACCAAAAGAUCUCUAGCAUAUAUUGAGGAUACCAAAAGAUCCUUGAGAUACUGAGAGAUCCCCAGUUGUUGCCUCUCUUAUGAGCGGUAUUCCUUUUGUGAUUAUUUGUCUGUGUUAUAAUUGUUGUUAUUAUUAUUAUUAUUAUUAUCAUGUGUUACCUCUUACUGUUAGCAUUUAAUUAUAUAGUCGUAUCAUAUACCGUUACAUCUUGUCUCUCAUUAAACCUCAUUAGGGCCCUGACCUUCCUCGUCACUACCCGAUUGAGGUUAUGCUUGGCACUUAUUGAGUACCGGUAUGGUGUACUAAUGCCCUUUUUGCACAUGUUUUUCAUGUGCAAAUCCAGGUACUUCGACCCAGUCCUAUCACACUUGAGAUGAGGCGCUUGUAGAGACUUUGAGGUAUAUCUUCCACGUCUGCAGAUCGAAGAGUCUCUUUCUAUUCUCGGUUCUAGUAUAGCCUUUGUGUAUUUUUCCUUGUUGACAGACUUUUUCGGAUUUAGAGCUUUUUAUGUAAUAUCUUAGCUUGUAAUCAAUGGGGUUUCGCAUUUUGGGAGUGUUAGUUUGAGAAUAUUGUAUUGAUAUAUGCCAAGCGACAUCUUUUACAUUGUUAAAUUUCGUUAUCUUGGCUUUAUUUACUUUCUUUCUGUAAAUUGUUUGUCUUUCCGCAUCAUUUAGGCCUACCUACUCAAACAGACUAUGCGCCGUCACGAUCGUUAACGAAGGACGAACUAGGGCCGUGACAAGUUUGUAUCAAGCUCUAGGUUCACAGGAGAGUCAUGAAUCACAGACCAGUUUAUUAGAGUCUCGCAGAUCAGUA